RNAcentral lists this long non-coding RNA (2139 nucleotides) under Nicotiana benthamiana. Its description in RNAcentral is "long non-coding RNA (NBEN_LNC016430)". Lineage: Eukaryota; Viridiplantae; Streptophyta; Magnoliopsida; Solanales; Solanaceae. The record is from RNAcentral.
AAUUGCCCUCAUCUUUACACUAGAUCUUCUCCUCGACCCCCUCUUCCCAAAUAUGCAACUACUUAUCCUCAAACCCCUAUAGAACUUUUCAAAUUUCAGAUCAAAGGAGGUAGAACCCUAGCAUUACCCACUUUCUCCGGAAUCGGUGCCACCUCCGUUCACCACCAAAAUUACACCCCAUAAGAUCCAUAACUCCUUCAUCCCAAAUCUCCAUUUAGUUUCCUCUAAAUACCCCUGAAACCUCUUCAAUAUAGAUUUGAAAAGACAAAACCUAAAAUCCCAAAGGUCCAAAUCAGCAAGGUUUUGAGGAUUUGAGGUCGAAAUCGAGUUUAAUUGUGUGUUCUUAGUCGAGACACAAUUAAGGUCUAUCUCAUCAUAAGUUCGAGGAUUUAGUGAGGUUGAUCUCAAGAUGUUUGUCCGUUAGUCUUGGGAGGUAUGCCCGGUUUUCUUUUUAUUUUUUUUUCUUUUGUUGUUAUUAUCUGCUUUUAUGUUUUUUUCUUCUUCCUUUUUGUUUUCCUAAAAAUCGUUCUAGUUUAGUAGGGGUUAAUUGCUAUUAUUUCUUAUUUUUACUUAGUUUAGUUGGACUCCUUGUUUUAGUUUUUGUUCAAUUUCUUCUUUUGUUAAGUUUUCGGCUAAGUUGACAAUACUUGGUCCAACGGUCUAGUGAAUUCUUCUACCCGUCCAUUUUCAACCUAGUUGAUUUUGGGAACUAGAUUUUUCUUGGGUCCAAAGGAAAAGGGGGCAGCCCCGACAUAGAAUUGAAACAUUGAGUCUACUUGACCUAGGUAAUAUGUUGAGAGUAAUAUUCAGGGGGCUUGAGAGGUAAUUUGGGUAGUUUACUUAGCGAAUCUCUGAAUAACUACCUUAGAAAGCUUCUUAGAAGCUGAAAAUAGCCUUACUUCGUAAUCAAGGCAAUAAUCUACGGAUUUCUAAGCAAAAAACGAAAAUUAGAAGGGUCUAAAGGGCAAAACUCAAGCUAUUUAUGCUGCCCUAAUGGCUUGCCUAUAAAGGCAUUGCUAAUGAGAGCUAGAAUGAGACUUGGAGAGAUAAAAAUAUACAGAAAAUAUAAACGGCGGAGCUCUUUUACUAUUUCAUUGAAUUUCUUUAGUAAUAUUUGAUUUGUUCGAUUUCUAAAACAAUUUGGACUCAUCUGAGUGUAGAAUGGGUUGAAUUUGGUCUUUUGAAAUUGGUUUUUGAAGUUAGCUUCAGUACUGUUCGAUGGGGAGCUGUUUUGGAUUGUUUUAAAUUAUUUUCUGGUUGAACUGGGUAGUUGGUAUUGAUUCUUGCCAUAUUGUUGUUGUUGUUUAUUGCUUCUCACCUCUUUUUCUUCUUUGCAAAUUCCAGGUACAUGCUCUAAACCCUGAAUAAUAUGAAUUGCUUGAUUUGAAGGGUGAAAUCGAAAUGGAUGUUUUGAGCUUGGCCUUGGUUUGUUAUUCAUUAUUUAGUUUAUCUCUUUCUGUUUUUCUUCCUCUGAAUUUCUAGUCUAUGAAUCUGAAGAAAGAUUUCUUGUAUUUCAUAGGGGUGUGGUAUCUUACUUGCUUUGAUAACCAUGCAAUGUAAAGAUUGAAGUUAAUUUGUGUGUUGUAGGAGUCAUGUAACAUAUUAUGUCCGCUUUCAGCUUUUCCUUCUCGUCUUUUACUACUUAAAGGAAUAAGUCCAUGUGCUUGAAAGUUCGAGUGUAGUUUUAAGUCUCUAAACAUGUAUAUUGUGUUCGAUUGGAAUUCUGGUAAUGUUGAAGAGAAACUGGUUGAUUUUAACUUGCUAGGUAAUGGACCGUAUGAGAGUCAUGUGGGGAAAAUUGAAAUUUGUCAAGUUUUCUUUAGGAAUAAAGGCUUUGUUAUCAAUUCAAUGGUGGUUAUGCAUGAACCUGAUGUUUGGCUAUCAGAGUGUUUAAUUAUGCUCAUUUAUGUUGAUUAAAUUGAAAUUCGAAAGUAAGGUUAUUACUUCAGUGGUAUAUUUUGAUUGGAUUUGCAAUUGUAUCUAUGCUAAUGAAUGAAUUUAUAAAUUAGAGCUUGAGUUAGCUUAGCAGAAAGAAGCCUUUCUUCGGGCUCAUUUUGUGCAUCAGGAGUCUUUGAUGCCAUUUGUUUGUAAGAAUUAAGCUCACCUUGGGCCCAAGUUUGGAAUGAAUUGUAAGAACUG